AACCGUGCCAGGAAGAACUACGUCCCAGUUUCCAGGAGAAGGGGUCCUCUCUGCAUGCAGACACCCAGGUCCAGGGAACUCCGAAGGGGACAGGAGAGCAGUGGGAGAAGGCCCACUGCGGCCCGGAUGUAUCCCUUAAGUUCCCCUUAGAGCCCAAGCCCCAUUCUCUACGGAACAGAACGCCUCCUGCUCUCCUCCUCUCGCUCAGGAGCCCACUCCCUCCUUCCCUGCCUCCGUCUCCAUCACGGAACACCUCCGGUGUCUCUCGAGGGCCCUCCCUCCAUCUCGCUUUCUUCCCACCGGCUCCUGGAGUGACCCUCUAGACGAUGAAGGUCAGCCGGCUCCACCACCUCCUCUCACGAGCACCCACCUCUCCAGGAUCCCUCACUCCUCUAGCAAGGGACAAGCCCAUCUCUGCUCUCCCGGAGCCCAAAGAGGCUGGAGAAAACAGUGGCUGAAGAGUUUGCUUCCAGACAGAAGCAGCCAUCACUGCCCCUGCAGGCAUCUCCAGGCAGGCCAUCCGCGAAAGCCUUUCAGCUCCAGCCGGCUGAGCCAAGGUGGUUCCCACUGCCCCAAAACCUGCCUGCUCCCUCCAAGACCGGGGUGGUGCAGCCUGUGGGGGGCUUCCAGACCUUCUCAGAACAAGACUGGGGCUCACUCCGCUUCUCCCCACCCCAGCACACCCUCAGUUUACUGACCCUUGUGUUCAGAGACAACCAGUAGGCCUCCCUGACUUCAUCCUGUCUCCCCACUGUGGCCUCCUCCAGGAGCAUAAUGAGGGGCUUAUUAGGUUUCAUCAUUUGAGCUUUUAUUUGCCAGGCAGACUAUUUAGCAUUUCAGCAGAGCAGAAUUGCCUUUGGUUCAGCCUCAGUAGCCCCGAGGCUCCCUCCUCAGUUAGAUCUCGCCCUGGUGAGCUCUUUGCAGUGGGAACUCUGCUCCCUCAAAUGUUCAUCUCAGCCCCCUAAUAAAAAAUUAAAAAUAAAACCAAACAAACCCAAGCAACGAUUGGACACUGAAUAGCUGCUUUGGAGCCAGAGGCGUAGCAUGAACUCUGAGCCACGAUUCACUAGCAAUAAACUUGAGGCGUUUAACUGGUCCUAUGUGAACCCCACCCAGCCCCUGCAGUGUGUGAGGGCUGUGCCCUGAGCGCUGCAGCCUUGGCAAGCCCAUCCAGUGGUCUGAGCAUAAGUUCUCCCAUCUCUAAUGUGGCUGGCCAUCCCUGCUCCCACCUGCAUAGCUACAGUCCCACAAAGAUCAAAGUGAGAAAUUUUAUUUUAUUUAUUUAUUUUUUUGGGGGGGUACCGGGG
Fukomys damarensis (Damara mole-rat) is the source of this 1307-nucleotide long non-coding RNA. Lineage: Eukaryota; Metazoa; Chordata; Mammalia; Rodentia; Bathyergidae. The record is from Ensembl.